Molecule: long non-coding RNA, 258 nt
Filed under: Dasypus novemcinctus (nine-banded armadillo)
Lineage: Eukaryota; Metazoa; Chordata; Mammalia; Cingulata; Dasypodidae
Description: lncRNA (ENSDNOG00000051088.1)
Source: RNAcentral
CGCCAUCCCUAGUGGCCUCUACACAGAACAGGAAGUGUCUUCAGAGGUCACCCCUUUGUGCUUUGCCAUCCAAGCUACAAAGACUCUCCUCCUCAGAACAUUGUGCUGGCAGGAAUUCAGCAUCAUGGAAAAGAAUAAAGGAUGGGCCCUUCUGGAAGGAAAAGAUUGCCAUCUUCAGGGAGUAUCUCUCCUUGCCAAGUAAGCCUUCCUUGCUGUGCACUGCUCUAAAUCAGUAUUGUUUUAUUUUUUACCCCCCUU